This 253-nucleotide ribosomal RNA is filed under the name uncultured bacterium. RNAcentral describes it as "partial 16S ribosomal RNA". It matches the Rfam family "Bacterial small subunit ribosomal RNA", at positions 524 to 776 of the family's 1533-position model. The record is from RNAcentral.
UACAGAGGUCUCAAGCGUUGUUCGGAUUCAUUGGGCGUAAAGGGCGCGUAGGCGGUCGCGUAAGCGUGUGGUGAAAGCCCGGGGCUCAACCCCGGGUCGGCCAUGCGAACUGCGGGACUGGAGCAGAUCAGAGGCAGGCGGAAUUCCGGGUGUAGCGGUGGAAUGCGUAGAGAUCCGGAAGAACACCGGUGGCGAAGGCGGCCUGCUGGGAUCUUGCUGACGCUGAAGCGCGACAGCGUGGGGAGCAAACAGG